CCUACGGGAGGCAGCAGUGGGGAAUUUUACACAAUGGGGGAAACCCUGAUGUAGCGACACCGCGUGAGCGAAGAAGCCCCUUGGGGUGUAAAGCUCUGUCAGCAGGGAGACGGUACCUGCAGAGGAAGCAUCGGCUAACUACGUGCCAGCAGCCGCGGUAAGACGUAGGAUGCGAGCGUUGUCCGGAUUUAUUGGGCGUAAAGAGUUCGUAGGCGGUUCGUUAAGUUUGGUGUUAAAGACUGUGGCUCAACCACGGGAUCGCACUGAAUACUGGCGGACUCGAGUGUAGUAGAGGCAAGCGGAAUUCACAGUGUAGCGGUGAAAUGCGUAGAUAUUGGGAAGAACACCGGUGGCGCAAGCGGCUUGCUGGCUUAACUGACGCUGAGGAACGAAAGCUAGGGUAGCGAAUGGGAUUAGAUACCCUAGUAGUC
Molecule: ribosomal RNA, 431 nt
Filed under: uncultured bacterium
Lineage: Bacteria
Description: partial 16S ribosomal RNA
Rfam family: Bacterial small subunit ribosomal RNA
Source: RNAcentral